Molecule: ribosomal RNA, 254 nt
Filed under: uncultured bacterium
Lineage: Bacteria
Description: partial 16S ribosomal RNA
Rfam family: Bacterial small subunit ribosomal RNA
Source: RNAcentral
UACGAGGGGAGCAAGCGUUGUUCGGAUUUACUGGGCGUAAAGGGCGCGUAGGCGGCCACCGCAAGUCGGUUGUGAAAUCUCCGGGCUUAACCCGGAAAGGUCAAUCGAUACUGCGGGGCUAGAGUGCAGAAGGGGCAACUGGAAUUCUCGGUGUAGCGGUGAAAUGCGUAGAUAUCGAGAGGAACACCUGCGGCGAAGGCGGGUUGCUGGGCUGACACUGACGCUGAAGCGCGAAAGCUAGGGGAGCGAACGGG